RNAcentral lists this ribosomal RNA (497 nucleotides) under uncultured bacterium. RNAcentral's name for it is "partial 16S ribosomal RNA". It matches the Rfam family "Bacterial small subunit ribosomal RNA", at positions 28 to 507 of the family's 1533-position model. The record is from RNAcentral.
GAUGAACGCUGGCGGCGUGCCUAAUACAUGCAAGUCGAGCGAACAGACGAGGAGCUUGCUCCUCUGACGUUAGCGGCGGACGGGUGAGUAACACGUGGAUAACCUACCUAUAAGACUGGGAUAACUUCGGGAAACCGGAGCUAAUACCGGAUAAUAUAUUGAACCGCAUGGUUCAAUAGUGAAAGACGGCUUUGCUGUCACUUAUAGAUGGAUCCGCGCCGCAUUAGCUAGUUGGUAAGGUAACGGCUUACCAAGGCGACGAUGCGUAGCCGACCUGAGAGAGUGAUCGGCCACACUGGAACUGAGACGCGGGCCAGACUCCGACGGGAGGCAGCAGUAGGGAAUCUUCCGCAAUGGGCGAAAGCCUGACGUAGCAACGCCGCGUGAGUAAUGAAGGUCUUCGGAUCGUAAAACUCUGUUAUUAGGGAAGAACAAAUGUGUAAGUAACUAUGCACGUCUUGACGGUACCUAAUCAGAAGGCCACGGCUAACUACGUG